CGGAGCGUAGCUCAGCUUGGUAGAGCACCAGCUUUGGGAGCUGGCUGUCGCAGGUUCAAAUCCUGUCGCUCCGACCA
This 77-nucleotide transfer RNA is filed under the name Limisphaera ngatamarikiensis. Its description in RNAcentral is "tRNA-Pro". It matches the Rfam family "tRNA". From Rfam's summary of the family: Transfer RNA (tRNA) molecules are approximately 80 nucleotides in length. Their secondary structure includes four short double-helical elements and three loops (D, anti-codon, and T loops). The record is from RNAcentral. RNAcentral also lists the same sequence under 14 other names. Lineage: Bacteria; Pseudomonadati; Verrucomicrobiota; Verrucomicrobiia; Limisphaerales; Limisphaeraceae.